Molecule: transfer RNA, 72 nt
Filed under: Ovis aries (sheep)
Lineage: Eukaryota; Metazoa; Chordata; Mammalia; Artiodactyla; Bovidae
Rfam family: tRNA
About the family: Transfer RNA (tRNA) molecules are approximately 80 nucleotides in length. Their secondary structure includes four short double-helical elements and three loops (D, anti-codon, and T loops).
Source: Rfam by way of RNAcentral
UCCCUGAUGGUCCAGUGGUUGAGAUGUUGGCCUUCACCACUGUGGACCCAGGUUUAAUCCCUGGUCGGGGAA